Molecule: long non-coding RNA, 404 nt
Organism: Anguilla anguilla (European eel)
Lineage: Eukaryota; Metazoa; Chordata; Actinopteri; Anguilliformes; Anguillidae
Exons: 5
Source: RefSeq, a predicted model, not a curated record
AGGGCCAAUUCAAUUAUUUGGCGGAGCUCAAACUGCCUGAAGAAGCCUUAUACUGGGAUUCUAGGAAAGGCAGAGUUGGAGCCUUCGAACAUCUUUUCCACAAAGGCAACUUCUCCAUCCUUAUGAGAUCGGUCCAAGAAUCUGACCUGGGCUUGUACCACUGUGAGCUGUUUGAGGGGAUCAACUGUAGCAUUGGCUGUCAAGAGGUGGAACUCAGUCUGCGAAAAGCAGGCGAUGCACGGCCGGGUGUGAUGGUGAACUACCGGUUCUGCGUAGCUGGCGGGGGGGUCUUCCUUUUACUGCUCCUUGGUUGCGCUUGCUGUGUACGGUAUAGAUGUGUUAAGAUGCAGCAGCCAAGCCACAGUUCUGGACGCUCCACUACUGAAUAUACAGAUAAUUAUUUG